RNAcentral lists this ribosomal RNA (497 nucleotides) under uncultured bacterium. RNAcentral describes it as "partial 16S ribosomal RNA". It matches the Rfam family "Bacterial small subunit ribosomal RNA", at positions 28 to 507 of the family's 1533-position model. The record is from RNAcentral.
GAUGAACGCUGGCGGCGUGCCUAAUACAUGCAAGUCGAGCGAACAGACGAGGAGCUUGCUCCUCUGACGUUAGCGGCGGACGGGUGAGUAACACGUGGAUAACCUACCUAUAAGACUGGGAUAACUUCGGGAAACCGGAGCUAAUACCGGAUAAUAUAUUGAACCGCAUGGUUCAAUAGUGAAAGACGGUUUUGCUGUCACUUAUAGAUGGAUCCGCGCCGCAUUAGCUAGUUGGUAAGGUAACGGCUUACCAAGGCGACGAUGCGUAGCCGACCUGAGAGGGGGUUCGGCCACACUGGAACUGGGACACGGUCCAGACUCCUACGGGAGGAAGCAGUAGGGAAUCUUCCGCAAUGGGCGAAAGCCUGACGGAGCAACGCCGCGUGAGUGAUGAAGGUCUUCGGAUCGUAAAACUCUGUUAUUAGGGAAGAACAAAUGUGUAAGUAACUAUGCACGUCUUGACGGUACCUAAUCAGAAAGCCACGGCUAACUACGUG